RNAcentral lists this non-coding RNA (26 nucleotides) under Arabidopsis thaliana (thale cress). Lineage: Eukaryota; Viridiplantae; Streptophyta; Magnoliopsida; Brassicales; Brassicaceae. RNAcentral also lists the same sequence under 3 other names. The record is from RNAcentral.
CUCUCUUAAGGUAGCCAAAUGCCUCG